GAUGAACGCUGGCGGCGUGCCUAAUACAUGCAAGUCGAGCGAACGGACGAGAAGCUUGCUUCUCUGAUGUUAGCGGCGGACGGGUGAGUAACACGUGGAUAACCUACCUCUAAGACUGGGAUAACUUCGGGAAACCGGCGCUAAUACCGGAGAAUAUUUUGAACCGCAUGGUUCCAAAGUGAAAGACGGUCUUGCUGUCACUAAUAGAUGGACCCGCGCUGCAUUAGCUAGUUGGUAAGGUAACGGCUUACCAAGGCAACGAUGCGUAGCCGACCUGAGAGGGUGAUCGGCCACACUGGAACUGAGACACGGUCCAGACUCCUACGGGAGGCAGCAGUAGGGAAUCUUCCGCAAUGGGCGAAAGCCUGACGGAGCAACGCCGCGUGAGUGAUGAAGGUCUUCUGAUCGUAAAACUCUGUUAUUAGGGAAGAACAUAUGUGUAAGUAACUGUGCACAUCUUGACGGUACCUAAUCAGAAAGCCACGGCUAACUACGUG
This 497-nucleotide ribosomal RNA is filed under the name uncultured bacterium. RNAcentral describes it as "partial 16S ribosomal RNA". It matches the Rfam family "Bacterial small subunit ribosomal RNA", at positions 28 to 507 of the family's 1533-position model. The record is from RNAcentral.